UGGGGAAUCUUGCGCAAUGGGCGAAAGCCUGACGCAGCAACGCCGCGUGGAGGAUGAAGGCCCUUGGGUUGUAAACUCCUGUCGGCUGGGAAGAAGUUGUUCGCGACUAAUACUCGCGGACAUUGACUGUACCAGCAAACGAAGCCCCGGCUAACUCUGUGCCAGCAGCCGCGGUAAUACAGAGGGGGCCAGCGUUAUUCGGAAUUAUUGGGCGUAAAGGGCGCGUAGGCGGCCAUGCGUGUCUUCCGUGAAAUCCCUCGGCUUAACCGAGGACGUGCGGAAGAAACUGCAAGGCUCGAGUCCGGAAGAGGGGGGCGGAAUUCCCAGUGUAGCGGUGAAAUGCGUAGAUAUUGGGAGGAACACCGGUGGCGAAGGCGGCUACCUGGACCGGUUCUGACGCUGAGGCGCGAAAGCGUGGGUAGCAAAC
RNAcentral lists this ribosomal RNA (427 nucleotides) under uncultured bacterium. Its description in RNAcentral is "bacterial SSU rRNA". It matches the Rfam family "Bacterial small subunit ribosomal RNA", at positions 355 to 773 of the family's 1533-position model. The record is from RNAcentral.